RNAcentral lists this ribosomal RNA (266 nucleotides) under uncultured bacterium. RNAcentral describes it as "partial 16S ribosomal RNA". It matches the Rfam family "Bacterial small subunit ribosomal RNA", at positions 28 to 292 of the family's 1533-position model. The record is from RNAcentral.
GAUGAACGCUAACGGCAGGCCUAAUACAUGCAAGCCGAACGGCAAGAUUUUCAGCAAUGGAAAUCCUAGAGUGGCGUAAGGGUGCGUAACACGUAUGCAAUCUGCCCUCAACAGGAGGAUAGCUCCCCGAAAGGGGAAUUAAGACUCCAUAAGAUCUUAGAGUGGCAUCACUUAGAGAUUAAACUACCAGGGGUUGAGGAUGAGCAUGCGCAUGANAGUUAGUUGGCGGGGUAACGGCCCACCAAGACGAUGAUCAUUAGGGGAAC